RNAcentral lists this ribosomal RNA (525 nucleotides) under Cnidaria environmental sample. RNAcentral's name for it is "SSU rRNA". It matches the Rfam family "Eukaryotic small subunit ribosomal RNA", at positions 621 to 1153 of the family's 1831-position model. Lineage: Eukaryota; Metazoa; Cnidaria. The record is from RNAcentral.
AAAAAGCUCGUAGUUGGAUUUCGGAGUGGGCCAGUUGGUCCGCCGCAAGGUGUGUUACUGACUGGUUUGCUCUUCUUCGCAAAGACUGCGUGUGCUCUUGAGUGAGUGUGCGUAGGAUUUACGACGUUUACUUUGAAAAAAUUAGAGUGUUCAAAGCAGGCUAUUGCUUGAAUACAUGAGCAUGGAAUAAUGGAAUAGGACUUUGGUCCCAUUUUGUUGGUUUCUAGGACCGAAGUAAUGAUUAAGAGGGACAAUUGGGGGCAUCCGUAUUUCGUUGUCAGAGGUGAAAUUCUUGGAUUUACGAAAGACGAACAACUGCGAAAGCACUUGCCAAGAGUGUUUUCAUUAAUCAAGAACGAAAGUUAGAGGAUCGAAGACGAUCAGAUACCGUCCUAGUUCUAACCAUAAACGAUGUCGACUAGGGAUCAGCGGGCGUUAUCGUACGACCCCGUUGGCACCUUACGGGAAACCAAAGUUUUUGGAUUCCGGGGGAAGUAUGGUUGCAAAGCUGAAACUUAAAGGAAU